GGCUUGGCGCGCGCGGCCCGGUUCGUUUUCGGACUGUGUGCCGUUGUGCGCCUGCCAUCCUUGUGAAGAACGGCUGUGCCCUUCACUGGGUUGCAGUCGUGAUUCACAUCUUUUACUUUGAAAAAAUUAGAGUGUUUAAAGCAGGCUUGCGCUAUGAAUACAUUAGCAUGGAAUAAUAAUUUAGGACUUCUGUUCUAUUUUGUUGGUUUCUAGGAUGGAAGUA
Molecule: ribosomal RNA, 223 nt
Filed under: uncultured fungus
Lineage: Eukaryota; Fungi
Description: partial small subunit ribosomal RNA
Rfam family: Eukaryotic small subunit ribosomal RNA (bases 97-223)
Source: RNAcentral